This 429-nucleotide ribosomal RNA is filed under the name Pseudomonadota bacterium. RNAcentral describes it as "Proteobacteria bacterium partial 16S ribosomal RNA". It matches the Rfam family "Bacterial small subunit ribosomal RNA", at positions 355 to 776 of the family's 1533-position model. Lineage: Bacteria; Pseudomonadati; Pseudomonadota. The record is from RNAcentral.
UGGGGAAUAUUGGACAAUGGGCGAAAGCCUGAUCCAGCCAUGCCGCGUGUGUGAAGAAGGUCUUCGGAUUGUAAAGCACUUUAAGUUGGGAGGAAGGGCAGUAAGCGAAUACCUUGCUGUUUUGACGUUACCGACAGAAUAAGCACCGGCUAACUCUGUGCCAGCAGCCGCGGUAAUACAGAGGGUGCAAGCGUUAAUCGGAAUUACUGGGCGUAAAGCGCGCGUAGGUGGUUCGUUAAGUUGAAUGUGAAAGCCCCGGGCUCAACCUGGGAACUGCAUGCAAAACUGGCGAGCUAGAGUAGGGCAGAGGGUGGUGGAAUUUCCUGUGUAGCGGUGAAAUGCGUAGAUAUAGGAAGGAACACCAGUGGCGAAGGCGACCACCUGGGCUCAUACUGACACUGAGGUGCGAAAGCGUGGGGAGCAAACAGG